RNAcentral lists this ribosomal RNA (496 nucleotides) under uncultured Cladosporium. Its description in RNAcentral is "eukaryotic LSU rRNA". The stretch from base 142 to 295 matches the Rfam family "5.8S ribosomal RNA". The record is from RNAcentral. Lineage: Eukaryota; Fungi; Ascomycota; Dothideomycetes; Cladosporiales; Cladosporiaceae.
UAACCACCGGGAUGUUCAUAACCCUUUGUUGUCCGACUCUGUUGCCUCCGGGGCGACCCUGCCUUCGGGCGGGGGCUCCGGGUGGACACUUCAAACUCUUGCGUAACUUUGCAGUCUGAGUAAACUUAAUUAAUAAAUUAAAACUUUUAACAACGGAUCUCUUGGUUCUGGCAUCGAUGAAGAACGCAGCGAAAUGCGAUAAGUAAUGUGAAUUGCAGAAUUCAGUGAAUCAUCGAAUCUUUGAACGCACAUUGCGCCCCCUGGUAUUCCGGGGGGCAUGCCUGUUCGAGCGUCAUUUCACCACUCAAGCCUCGCUUGGUAUUGGGCAACGCGGUCCGCCGCGUGCCUCAAAUCGACCGGCUGGGUCUUCUGUCCCCUAAGCGUUGUGGAAACUAUUCGCUAAAGGGUGUUCGGGAGGCUACGCCGUAAAACAACCCCAUUUCUAAGGUUGACCUCGGAUCAGGUAGGGAUACCCGCUGAACUUAAGCAUAUCAAU